UCUUGGUGUGGAACCCUAUGCAACAAAGUCUGACAUCAACAAGGGAACUCAGGACUUCAGAAGAAACGUUGCUCGUGAAAAGAAGUUCCCACUGAUGGAGAAAGGCUGAUACAUUUCCAGCAACACCCAACAGUCUUAUAGUAAAGGCAGCGCAGAACCAAGUGCAACAGAACAGAGAACAGAAAACAGUCACCAGAGGUCCACUGGAGUUGGUGUGUGCAUACCAUGGCACAUCCAAGGAAGGUGAUCCUUGGAAGGGGAAGAAUUGGGGGACAUUGGACCCUACUUCCUUGUGGGCAGAGGCCAUGCAG
Molecule: long non-coding RNA, 311 nt
Organism: Acinonyx jubatus (cheetah)
Lineage: Eukaryota; Metazoa; Chordata; Mammalia; Carnivora; Felidae
Exons: 2
Source: RefSeq, a predicted model, not a curated record